GAUUCUGGCUCAGGACGAACGCUGGCGGCGUGCCUAACACAUGCAAGUCGAGCGGAGAAUGCGGACAUGUUUACAUAGAAGCAUCUUAGCGGCGGACGGGUGAGUAACACGUGGGUAACCUGCCUCAAAGAGGGGGAUAGCCUUCCGAAAGGAAGAUUAAUACCGCAUAAGCCUGCAGUACCGCAUGGUACAGCAGGAAAAGGAGCAAUCCGCUUUGAGAUGGACCCGCGGCGCAUUAGCUAGUUGGUGAGGUAACGGCUCACCAAGGCGACGAUGCGUAGCCGACCUGAGAGGGUGAUCGGCCACAUUGGAACUGAGACACGGUCCAGACUCCUACGGGAGGCAGCAGCGGGGAAUAUUGCACAAUGGGCGAAAGCCUGAUGCCAGCAACGCCGCGUGAAUGAUGAAGGCCUUCGGGUCGUAAAGUUCUUUGAUCAGGGAUGAUAAUGACAGUACCUGAAAAACAAGCCACGGCUAACUACGUGCCAGCAGCCGC
RNAcentral lists this ribosomal RNA (496 nucleotides) under uncultured bacterium. RNAcentral describes it as "bacterial SSU rRNA". It matches the Rfam family "Bacterial small subunit ribosomal RNA", at positions 15 to 518 of the family's 1533-position model. The record is from RNAcentral.